UAUUAAAGUUGUUGCGGUUAAAAAGCUCGUAGUUGAAUCUGUGUCUCGCGCUGUCGGUUCACCGCCCGCGGUGUUAAACUGGCACGCCCGCGAGACGUCCUGCCGGUGGGACGGCUGGGACGUGGCUCCGGUCGCGUUCGACAGCGUCCCGACUUGAAAUCCUACCGCGGUGCUCUUGACUGAGUGUCGAGGUGGGCCGGCACGUUUACUUUGAACAAAUUAGAGUGCUCAAAGCAGGCUAAAACUUCGCCUGAAUACUGUGUGCAUGGAAUAAUGGAACAGGACCUCGGUUCUAUUUUGUUGGUUUUCGGAACCCCGAGGUAAUGAUUAAUAGGGACAGAUGGGGGCAUUCGUAUUGCGACGUUAGAGGUGAAAUUCUUGGACGUCGCAAGACGGACAGAAGCGAAAGCAUUUGCCAAAAAUGUUUUCAUUAAUCAAGAACGAAAGUCAGAGGUUCGAAGGCGAUCAGAUACCGCCCUAGUUCUGACCAUAAACGAUGCCAGCUAGCGAUCCGCCGACGUUCCUCCGAUGACUCGGCGGGCAGCUUCCGGGAAACCAAAGCUUUUGGGUUCCGGGGGAAGUAUGGUUGCAAAGCUGAAACUUAAAGGAAUUGACGGAAGGGCACCACCAGGAGUGGAGCCUGCGGCUUAAUUUGACUCAACACGGGAAAUCUCACCAGGCCCGGACACCGGAAGGAUUGACAGAUUGAGAGCUCUUUCUUGAUUCGGUGGGUGGUGGUGCAUGGCCGUUCUUAGUUGGUGGAGCGAUCUGUCUGGUUAAUUCCGAUAACGAACGAGACUCUAGCCUGCUAACUAGGCGUUACUUUCCGGCAUCUCGAAGGCUCGCGUCUCCCGUUCGCCGGUGCGGUUCGGUGUCGCGUUGCGGCGCUUCGGCGUUCGCGCGCGCCCGUGCCGCCCGGUCGGGUGUUCGCGGUUUUUACUGCCGGCGUACACAUGAAUCUUCUUAGAGGGACAGGCGGCUCCUAGCCGCACGAGAUUGAGCAAUAACAGGUCUGUGAUGCCCUUAGAUGUUCUGGGCCGCACGCGCGCUACACUGAAGGAAUCAGCGUGUCCUCCCUGGCCGAGCGGUCCGGGUAACCCGCUGAACCUCCUUCGUGCUAGGGAUUGGGGCUUGCAAUUGUUCCCCAUGAACGAGGAAUUCCCAGUAAGCGCGAGUCAUAAGCUCGCGUUGAUUACGUCCCUGCCCUUUGUACACACCGCCCGUCGCUACUACCGAUUGAAUGAUUUAGUGAGGUCUUCGGACCGGUACGCGGCGACGUUCCGACGUCGCCGACGUCGCUGGGAAGAUGACCAAACUUGAUCAUUA
RNAcentral lists this ribosomal RNA (1326 nucleotides) under Pachydrus politus. Its description in RNAcentral is "SSU rRNA". It matches the Rfam family "Eukaryotic small subunit ribosomal RNA", at positions 602 to 1774 of the family's 1831-position model. The record is from RNAcentral. Lineage: Eukaryota; Metazoa; Arthropoda; Insecta; Coleoptera; Dytiscidae.